CAACUUUGCUAUCUUAGAACGGAUCACCAGUGAAAGAGGGGAAGUUGCUACUGUGAUGAAUUCUGCCAUGUGGUACCAGACUGCUGCCCAGACCACAGUGUCCUCUGCAACCCUGGUAACUCACAUACAGGCCUGAUUCCACCUACAGCAAAGCUGGAUGCUAUGGUUGGCAGAGGCAAGCCCCUUGCCUGCACUUCAGGCCAAAGCCGGGAUGUGGCCUAGAUGGUUCCUAAGCUUCUCAGAUGACCAAGAUGGUGCUGCCGAUGGUGUUGAGGACGGAGAACCCACCAAGCCCCGUUAGGAGCCACCUAGACUGGAUGCAGAGCACAGUUCAGCGACUUCUCCAAACCAGCCUCCCAGGAAUGCUGUUCUCUAUGGCCGUGAGGGGAAUCAAGAAGAGAGCCUGACUCCUCUCCUGAGGUCCCUUCCACACCCUGAGCCAGCAGGAUCCACGGAGCAGAGGUCAUCUGCCCGCAACUUGGCCCACUGAGGCCAGCAUGGCU
Molecule: long non-coding RNA, 503 nt
Filed under: Pongo abelii (Sumatran orangutan)
Lineage: Eukaryota; Metazoa; Chordata; Mammalia; Primates; Hominidae
Description: lincRNA
Source: RNAcentral